RNAcentral lists this small nuclear RNA (107 nucleotides) under Lepidothrix coronata (blue-crowned manakin). The record is from RNAcentral. Lineage: Eukaryota; Metazoa; Chordata; Aves; Passeriformes; Pipridae.
GUGCUCACUUUGGCUGCACAUAUACUAAAAUUGGAACAACACAGAGAAGAUUAGCAUCACUCCUGUUGCAGAAUGACAUGCAAAUUAACUCAAUCUACUAUCUAAUG